Molecule: ribosomal RNA, 266 nt
Filed under: Centrocestus sp. 1 AC-2021
Lineage: Eukaryota; Metazoa; Platyhelminthes; Trematoda; Opisthorchiida; Heterophyidae
Description: partial small subunit ribosomal RNA
Source: RNAcentral
GCAGGAUUGCGUUUAGAAGUGCUUACAAAUCUGUGAUGACAGCUAUAAAAAGAUAAGGAUUAGAGACCCUUGUAUUGAGUUAUUUAAUUUUUAUUCCGUAGUCGAAACUAAAAAGAUUUGGCAGCUGAUGAGGUUCUUCCGGGGGAACGUGUUUCAUAAAAGAUAGUCCGCUUAGGUUCAGACCAUUCUUAGGGGAGUUAGUGUAUAUCCGGUUAAAGAUCCGGGAUUUGUGUCUUCGGGUGAUUUAUUAUGAGUUAAGCCAGGUC